GGGCCCAUAGCUCAGUGGUUAGAGCACGCGACUCAUAAUCGCUUGGUCGGGGGUUCAAAUCCCUCUGGGCCCACCA
RNAcentral lists this transfer RNA (76 nucleotides) under Verrucomicrobiota bacterium. RNAcentral describes it as "Verrucomicrobia bacterium tRNA-Ile". It matches the Rfam family "tRNA". Rfam says of the family: Transfer RNA (tRNA) molecules are approximately 80 nucleotides in length. Their secondary structure includes four short double-helical elements and three loops (D, anti-codon, and T loops). Lineage: Bacteria; Pseudomonadati; Verrucomicrobiota. The record is from RNAcentral.